UCUCUGUGGAGAGGGCAAGAGGGUCAAAUGAAGGAGAUGUGGUUCUCAUAACAGACCAGCAUGACUUCUCUCUUCUUGGAAGCCACCGGGCUGACUGCUCCCUGCAAUCCUGCACGAUUACUCACCUCUAGUCCUUCUUACAACUCACACAAAGGACAAAGUCGGAGGCUGUAUACAAUGCAGUGCAUGCACACACAUAUAUUCAAUUGAGCAACAUGGGGAAAAUAGUACUACUGUUGAAAGCUAUUUCUGCACUGUAAAACGUAACUGCCUGACUCAUUAAAGAAAUUGAGUAGCGGCUUCUCAAACAUCUCCAAAAGUAGUAGUCAGACACAUUGAUAUUUGAAGACAUGUACAGCACCCGGUGUCACAGGAAGGUCAAGGAGGUCAUUGAGAACCUCAGCCACCCGAGCCGUGACCUGUUCACCCCGCUACAAUCUAGAAGGCAGAGACAGUACUGGUGCGUCAAAGCUGGGACAGAGAGACUAAAAAACAACUUCUAAUCUCCAGACUGUUAAAUAGUCACCACUCGUCAUCCUCUGCACCAUACCAUACCCUGAACCUUAGUCACAGUUACUAGCCGGCUGCCACCCGGUACUCUACCCUGCACCUUAGAGACAGCUGCCCUAUGUACAUAGUCAUUGAAUUGGUCACUUUAAUAAUGUUGACAUACCAACUUAAUAUGUAUAUACAGUAUUCUAGUCAAGGCUCAUCCUAUAUAACUCCUGCUGUACACACAUUUUCUAUUCAUAUAUUGUCCAUACAUUAUAUACAUACAGUGCUUUGAGAGAGUAUUCACACCCCUUGAGUUUUUCCACAUUUUGUUGUAUUAAAAUGUUUUUCAAUUGUCUGUUUUGGUCAACGAUCUACACUAAAUACUCUAAAUGUCAAAGUGGGAGAACAUUUUUACAUUAAAAAAAACAUAAAAUUAAACAAUUAUAUAUCUUGAUGAGAUAAGCAUUUAACCACGAGUCAAUACAUGUUAGAAUCACCUUUGGCAGCAAUUACAGCUGUGAGUUUUUCUGCGUAAGUCUCAAAGAGCUUUGCACACUUGGAUUGUAUAAUAUCUGUCCAUUAUUCUUUUAAAAAAUUCUUCAAGCAUUGUUAAGUUGGUUUUUGAUCAUUGCUAGAUAGCCAUUUUCAAGUCCUCCCAAAGAUUUUCAAGCCGAUUUAAGUCAAAUCUGUAACUAGGGCACUCAGGAAAAUUCAAUGUCGUCUUGGUAAGCAACUCCACUGUGUAUUUGACUUUGUGUUUUAGGUAAUUGUCCUGCUGAACGGUGAACGUCUCCCAAUGUCUGUUGGAAAGCAAAGUGAACCAAGUUUUCCUCUAGUAUUUUGCCUGUGCUUAGCUCUAUUCUUUUUCCUUUUAUCCUAAAAAAAACACCCUAGUCCUGACAAGCAUACCCAUAACAUGAUGAUGCAACCCCCAUGCUUGAAAAUAUAAAGCAGUACUCAGUGAUGUGUUGUGUUGGAUUUUCCCCAAACAUAACACUUUGUUUUUAGGACAAAAAGUACAUUUCUUUGUAGUAUUAGUUUAGUGGCUUACUGCAAACAGGAUGCAUUUUUUUAAAUAUUGAUGUAUUCACUCAUUCAUUCUAUACAGGCUUCCUUCUUUUCACUCUGUAAUUUAUUUUCAUAUUGUGGAGUAAUGGCAAUGUUGUUGAUCCAUUCUCAGUUAUCUCCUAUCACAGCCAUUAAACUCUGUUUUAUAAUCAACAUUGGCCUCAUGGUGAAAUCCCUAAGUGGUUUCCUUCCUCUCCGGCAACUGAGUUAGGAAGGAUGCCUGUAUCUUUGCAGUGACCGGGUGUAUUGAUACACCAUCCAAAGUGUAAUUAAUACCUGCACCAUGCUCUAAGGAUAUUCAAUGUCUGUUUAGUUGUUUUACCCAUCUACCAAUAUGUGCCCUUUUUUGCGAACCAUUGCAAAACCUCCCUGGUCUGAGCGGUUGAAUUUGUGCUUGAAAUUCACUGCUCGACUGAGGAACCUUACAGAUUUUUGUAUGUGUGGUGUACAAAGACAAGGUAGUCAUUUAAAAAUCGUUACGUUAAACACUAUUACUGCACACAGAGUCCAUGCAAAUGUUUAUAUCUGAACUUUUUAGGCUGAACAUAACAAAAGGGUUGAAUACUUGAAUGGUUGAAUGGCUCAAGACAUUUCUACAUCUCAUUUUCUUUACAUUUGUAAACAUUUCUAAAAGCAUAAUUCCACUUUGACAUUAUGGGGUAUUGUGUGUAGAUUAGUAACACAACAUUUAAAUAUAAUACAUUUUAAAUUAAGGCUGUAAAAGGCAAUGAGUGUAAAUGCUUUCUGAAGUAUUUAUAUUCCGGAAUUGGACGUUGCUUGUUCUGAUAUUUCUGAAUGUCUUUGUUAGGUAUUACUUCACUGUUGGAGCUUGAAACAUUAGCAUUUCACUGCACCUGUGAUAACAUAUGCAAAAUAUUUGUAUGUGACCAACAACAAUGUAUUUUAUUUUGAGUUUUUUUUUAAAACACUUGAUUUAUCUGUAUUGUGCUGAUAUAGAAUGAUUAUUUUAUUGCACGUUAUAAAUACUUAAUAGUG
Oncorhynchus masou masou (cherry salmon) is the source of this 2559-nucleotide long non-coding RNA. RefSeq lists it as uncharacterized. NCBI's taxonomy places the organism in Eukaryota, Metazoa, Chordata, Actinopteri, Salmoniformes, Salmonidae. The record is from RefSeq and is a predicted model, not a curated record. The transcript has 2 exons.